AGAGUUUGAUCAUGGCUCAGAACGAACGCUGGCGGCGUGCUUAACACAUGCAAGUCGCGUGCGCAGUUGCCGUAGCAAUACGGUGAUGGGCGCACGGCGCACGGGUGCGUAACACGUGGGCAAUCUACCCUUUGAUGGGGAAUAACCCGUCGAAAGGCGGGCUAAUUCCGCAUAAGAUUCUUUGAACCUCGGUUUGAAGAUUGAAAGCAGUAAUGCGUCGAAGGAGGAGCCCGCGCCCGAUUAGCUAGUUGGUGAGGUAACGGCUCACCAAGGCUAUGAUCGGUAGCUGGUCUGAGAGGAUGAUCAGCCACACUGGAACUGAGACACGGUCCAGACUCCUACGGGAGGCAGCAGUGGGGAAUCUUGCACAAUGGGCGAAAGCCUGAUGCAGCGACGCCGCGUGGGGGAUGAAGCUUCUCGGAGUGUAAACCCCUUUCGACUGGGAAGAAAGCCUCGCAAGAGGACUGACGGUACCAGUAUAAGAAGCCCCGGCUAACUACGUGCCAGCAGCCGCGGUAAGACGUAGGGGGCCAGCGUUGUUCGGAAUUACUGGGUGUAAAGGGUUCGUAGGCGGUGUGGCAAGUUGGGAGUGAAAUCUCUGGGCUCAACCCAGAGGCUGCUUCCAAAACUGCUGUGCUUGAGUGUGAGAGAGGCUCGUGGAAUUGCAGGUGUAGCGGUGAAAUGCGUAGAUAUCUGCAGGAACACCCGUGGCGAAAGCGGCGAGCUGGAUCACAGCUGACGCUGAGGAACGAAAGCUAGGGGAGCAAACAGGAUUAGAUACCCUGGUAGUCCUAGCCCUAAACGAUCAGGACUUGGGGUGCCGCCCGUUCGGGCGUCGUCCCGGAGCUAACGCGUUAAGUCCUGCACCUGGGGGGUACGGUCGCAAGACUGAAACUCAAGGAUUGACGGGGGCCCGCACAAGCGGUGGAACAUGUGGUUCAAUUCGACGCUACGCGAGGAUUCUUUACC
This 969-nucleotide ribosomal RNA is filed under the name uncultured bacterium. Its description in RNAcentral is "bacterial SSU rRNA". It matches the Rfam family "Bacterial small subunit ribosomal RNA", at positions 8 to 976 of the family's 1533-position model. The record is from RNAcentral.